GCCAUCCUGUUAGAAGGUAACAGAUUAUUUUAUUACAAUGGUUAAAUUGGAUUUUCAUUGUGUUCAAUGGUGUUAUUUGCCCCCUAGUGGCGCUUUCUGGUACUUAGAAAGACAACGCAAACAGGAAGUACAGAAUUAGUUUUGCACGCAUAGAAGCAGCUACAAACAACGCUACGGUGCAGGUCUUUCAAUGUAGUUAUUUCUUGUCACGCUUCAGCCUUGGAAAAAUAUUUGUUUGUAAGUUCGAUUCAAGCAUUUAGCUAAUGAUGAUAAUCUUGUUAUUGAUAGAGUUUCUUACAUAUCAAUGUUGGUUGCAUUUACUCACAAAUUGCAAUGCCUUUAAUGUAUGUCGUUAGCUGUAUUACUUUGCUCAUGCGUCAUGCAAACGAAUUGUAAAAUAUACAAUACUGUAGUUUUGUUACUGUUUCUAGUGUAAUAUGCGUUGUUAUUCUACAUAGAUGGUUAUACAUUAUUAGAGUAAUGAAAGGAGCAAUUACCAUAUGGUUAACAAUUAGCUAUAUGGUUUGGCAUCAUGCCAGAUGCAUGGUACCUUAGCGCGUGCUUUGUAUUUAUGCAACUUCAAAUGUUUUAUGUACAGCUACAGUAUGUCGGUGUGAAUUGAACACUAAAGUAUAUUCUUUUCUGUAUUUUGCAGUUUCACAACAUAAACGUUUUCAAUAUAUUCAUUCAAGAAAAGUCACGCCUUGGGAGUUUUAUUGAAGACUUAGUUGUUAGCUAUCUGUCUAGUUUUGCAUGGGAACGCAACUCAAGGGCAGAAUAGUGAAAAAACAUCAUCACAGCGGGCUCAAGCACAAGAAUAACUGCACACGGUGGUUAUGUUUCUACGUUCAUCAGCCAACAAAGCAAAGCCUCUUAUCCUAGGGAAGACCAGCAGUCUACGAUGCAACAACCAGAACCAGGUGUUCAACAGAGAGAGAUGGAAGAGCCUCUUCAGCACAUUGGGACCAAGUCUCAAUCUACAAGAUCAAGGUCAUCAAAACAGUCAAGCAGAUCCUCAACGGCGAGUUCUGCAGCCGUCAAAGCACGCGCCAAGGCAGACGCAGCACGCGCACAAGUCUCUUAUGCUGAGAAGGAAGCUUCUGUGAUGAAACAAAAGGCAGAAAUAGAGGCCAGCUUGUUGAAGCAAAAAGCUGACCUCGAGGCAAGUUUAUAUGUUCUCCAAGUUGAGAGAACAGCUGCUGCUGCGUUGGCUGAAGCUGCAGCCUUUGAAGAAGUUGUAGGAUCAGAACGCAGAGAGCUUCGAAAAGAACUAGACACCGGGACACAGCCCUUAAGUCCAGUCCAACGUACAUGUGAGUAUGUGCAACAACCUGCUAGGCCCUAUUUUGCUGAACUUCCAUUUGAAGUGGAGAAACAAGAGCUUAGUGUUGACCCAGCUACAUGCCAUAAUCCAGAAAGUAGCAAACAACAGAACAUGAGCAGAGACUCUCCGUUCAAAAGAAAUGAACAGCAGCAUGGUGGAAAUGGAAAGCAAGCCCACUUCCAGUCACACACACACAACUUCCCUGAGUCACAAGUGGCACCAGACCUCACGAAGUACCUCCUACGACGUGAGAUGGUGAGUUCAGGACUCCUGAAGUUUGAUGAUCGCCCUGAAAAUUAUUGGGCAUGGAAAGCAUCCUUUCUCAAUGCGACCAGAGACUUGAAUUUGUCAGCCAGGGAAGAGUUAGAUCUAAUUACCAAGUGGCUAGGGGCAGAGUCGUCUGAGCAAGCAAACAGAAUUAGAUCUGUCCAUAUUUUCAACGCAACAGCAGGGCUUAACAUGGUCUGGCAACGACUAGAAGAGUGCUAUGGUACACCCGAAGUGAUCGAGAAUGCACUGUUGAAGAAAAUGGUUGAUUUUCCAAAACUGGCUAACAAAGACAAUCACAAACUAAGAGAACUAGGUGACAUUCUUCUCGAAUUGGAGUGUGCUAAAGUAGAAGGGUACCUUCCAGGCCUCGCUUAUCUGGACACAUCUCGGGGGGUAAACCCUAUUGUAGAGAAACUUCCAUUCAGUUUACAAGAAAAAUGGAUAGCACAGGGAUCCAAAUAUAAGGAGGACUAUCGGGUAGCAUUCCCACCAUUCUCGUUCUUCUCGCGAUUCAUCAGGAACCAGGCAAAAAUUAGAAAUGACCCCAGCUUCACCCUCUACACCUCAACUAACCAGGUGUCCAUGAAAAGUGAGAAACCUGCCAGGUACAGCAGCAAGACACCUGUGACUGUAUACAAGACAGAUGUGUCAUCUGAGGCCUCAGACCACCAAACCAAACCCAGUAAGACAAAGGUUGAAAACCCUGACCGUCACUGAACAAUACAUAACAAGCCUCAUCCUCUUAAAAAGUGUUGUGGGUUUAGAUACAAAACUCUAGAUGAGCGCAAAUCAUAUCUCAAAGACAAUGGCAUUUGUUUCCGAUGUUGUGGGUCAACUCAGCACAGAGCUAAAGACUGUAAGGUUUCAAUCAAGUGCUCUGAGUGCGACAGCGACAGGCAUCUUGCUGCUCUGCAUCCAGGCCCAGCCCCUACAAAUACAUACACCGCUGCAGCAGAGACAGAUAAUGGCGGGGAGCAAGGUGACGAUGCUCUUCUAUCUGUCACCUCAAAGUGUACAGAGAUCUGUGGUGAGGCAGUCAAUCCAAGAUCAUGUUCAAAAAUAUGCUUAGUCAAAGCUUAUCCGGCUGGGAAAAGAGAGAAAGCUGUCAAAAUGUAUGUAGUGCUUGAUGAACAGAGUAACAAAUCUCUGGCCAAGACAGAGUUUUUCAGUCUCUUCAACAUCAAUGACAUCUCUGCUCCAUACACCAUGAAGACGUGUUCUGGGGUAACAGAAACCACAGGCAGGAGAGCCGUCAACUUCAUGGUGGAGUCUAUAGAUGGACACAUGCAGCUCACUCUCCCUACUCUGAUAGAGUGUGAUAUGAUGCCAGACGAUAGGAUGGAGAUUCCCUCCCCCGACAUUGCGUAUCAUCAUCCCCAUCUGCAACCAGUUAUGGACAGAAUUCCAGCUGUGGACCCAGACGCUCCCAUCCUCCUGCUCUUAGGACGAGACAUCUUAAGGGUACACAAGGUACGAGAGCAAAUCAAUGGGCCCCACGACACUCCUUAUGCACAGCGACUCGACCUCGGGUGGGUCAUUGUGGGUGAGGUCUGUCUGGGAACGGCUCACCGACCAGCCAAUGUUAACGUGUUCAGGACAAACAUACUUCAAAAUGGUCGCACAUCCUAUCUGAGCCCUUGCCCUGACAUCAUCCAGGUAAAAGAGAACUACAACAGCGUAGCUCAGAAACACAUCUCUCCCUCUACAGUGCACUCGAGAGAUCCAAUCACAACUGUGAACACAGACAGCCUGGGAUGUUCCGUGUGUGUUCGACAAAACACAAGACGAUGAUAAACCAGCACCAUCAGUGGAGGACAAAGCCUUCUUGGACAUUAUGGACAAACAGGUUUUCCAGGAUGAUGGAAACAACUGGGUGGCUCCACUACCCUUUCGCCCCAAUAGACGUCGCCUUCCUAAUAACAGGGAGCAGGCCAUGAACCGUCUCACAUCACUUCGCAGGACUUUAGACAAAAAGCCUGACAUGAAGCGUCAUUUUAUUGACUUCAUGCAAAAGAUGCUGGAUAACGACCAAGCCGAACCUUCACAGCCACUAGAGGGAGACAAAGAACGUUGGUAUCUGCCCAUAUUUGGUGUUUACCAUCCACAAAAGCCUGAACAAAUACGAGUAGUAUUUGACUCCAGUGCUAAGUGUCAAGGCGUGUCACUUAACGAUGUUCUGCUCAGUGGUCCAGACUUAAACAACACACUCUUGGGUGUCCUAAUGCGUUUCCGCAAGGAUUGCAUUGCACUGACAGCAGAUGUGCAACAAAUGUUUUACUGUUUUGGUGUACGUGAGGAUCACAGAGAUUACUUAAGGUUUCUCUGGUAUGAAGACAACAACCCACAUAGAAACAACUGAGUACAGGAUGAAAGUACAUGUAUUUGGAAACAGCCCUUCACCAGCCGUAGCCAUCUACUGCAUGAGACGAGCAGCGCUACAGGGUGAGAAGGAACACGGGUCAGAACCCAAGCAAUAUGUAGUGAGGAACUUCUACGUCGAUGAUGGUCUGACAUCAGUAGCUACUACAGAAGAAGCUAUCAAUAUUCUAAGAAAAACACAAGCAAUGUUGGCGGAGUCCAACAUGAAACUACACAAGAUUGCAUCCAAUAGCAAAACAGUUAUGGAAGCCUUCCCUAUGGAGGACCGUGCAAAAGACUUAAAAGAUCUGGACCUAGGAGUGGAUCCUCUCCCCUUUCAACAGAGUCUGGGACUUUCCUGGAACCUGGAAACAGACAGCUUCUCAUUCCAGGUGUCCCACAAUGAGAAGCCUUUUACUCGGAGAGGCAUCCUGUCCACAGUGAAUAGUCUUUAUGACCCCCUUGGGUUCAUGGCUCCAAUAACAAUGCAAGGUAAAGCCUUAAUCAGAGAACUCUCUUCUGAUCAGAGUGAGUGGGAUGUCCCUCUUCCAACAGAAAAAGAUGAGAAAUGGAAACAGUGGAAGCAAGUCCAGUGUCUCGCUGACACCUUUUGGAAAAGGUGGAGACAGGAGUACCUGACAACGCUGCAGAGACGCAGAAAAUGGACAGCAGAAAAGCCAAAUGUAAAAGUGGGAGAUGUUGUCUUAUUGAAAGACAGUCAGGCACACAGAAAUGACUGGCCAGUCGGGCUUGUGGUAAAAACCUUUCCCAGUACAGACAAAAAGGUUAGGAAAGUAGAACUAAAAAUUGUCAAGCAAGGAGCUGCUAAGGUGUUUCUGAGAACAAUCUCAGAGAUUGUUGUUCUUCUUUCUGAAGCAUCCUAGAGACAAAAGAUAAAAAUAGAAAGGACAUUAUUUGUUUCUUGAUAUGUUUUAUUUAAUAGUGGCACAAUUUCAUUAUACCAGGCGGGGAGUGUGCUGCCAUCCUGUUAGAAGGUAACAGAUUAUUUUAUUACAAUGGUUAAAUUGGAUUUUCAUUGUGUUCAAUGGUGUUAUUUGCCCCCUAGUGGCGCUUUCUGGUACUUAGAAAGACAACGCAAACAGGAAGUACAGAAUUAGUUUUGCACGCAUAGAAGCAGCUACAAACAACGCUACGGUGCAGGUCUUUCAAUGUAGUUAUUUCUUGUCACGCUUCAGCCUUGGAAAAAUAUUUGUUUUUUCACAACAUAAACGUUUUCAAUAUAUUCAUUCAAGAAAA
Molecule: long non-coding RNA, 5209 nt
Organism: Oncorhynchus nerka (sockeye salmon)
Lineage: Eukaryota; Metazoa; Chordata; Actinopteri; Salmoniformes; Salmonidae
Exons: 2
Source: RefSeq, a predicted model, not a curated record